CUUAACACAUGCAAGUCGAGGGGAAACGACAUCGAAAGCUUGCUUUUGAUGGGCGUCGACCGGCGCACGGGUGAGUAACGCGUAUCCAACCUGCCCACCACUUGGGGAUAACCUUGCGAAAGUAAGACUAAUACCCAAUGAUAUCUCUAGAAGACAUCUGAAGGAGAUUAAAGAUUUAUCGGUGAUGGAUGGGGAUGCGUCUGAUUAGCUUGUUGGCGGGGUAACGGCCCACCAAGGCGACGAUCAGUAGGGGUUCUGAGAGGAAGGUCCCCCACAUUGGAACUGAGACACGGUCCAAACUCCUACGGGAGGCAGCAGUGAGGAAUAUUGGUCAAUGGGCGAGAGCCUGAACCUGCCAAGUAGCGUGCAGGAUGACGGCCCUAUGGGUUGUAAACUGCUUUUAUAAGGGAAUAAAGUGAGUCUCGUGAGACUUUUUGCAUGUACCUUAUGAAUAAGGACCGGCUAAUUCCGUGCCAGCAGCCGCGGUAAUACGGAAGGUCCGGGCGUUAUCCGGAUUUAUUGGGUUUAAAGGGAGCGUAGGCCGGAGAUUAAGCGUGUUGUGAAAUGUAGACGCUCAACGUCUGCACUGCAGCGCGAACUGGUUUCCUUGAGUACGCACAAAGUGGGCGGAAUUCGUGGUGUAGCGGUGAAAUGCUUAGAUAUCACGAAGAACUCCGAUUGCGAAGGCAGCUCACUGGAGCGCAACUGACGCUGAAGCUCGAAAGUGCGGGUAUCGAACAGGAUUAGAUACCCUGGUAGUCCGCACGGUAAACGAUGGAUGCCCGCUGUUGGUCUGAAUAGGUCAGCGGCCAAGCGAAAGCAUUAAGCAUCCCACCUGGGGAGUACGCCGGCAACGGUGCAA
Molecule: ribosomal RNA, 862 nt
Filed under: uncultured bacterium
Lineage: Bacteria
Description: bacterial SSU rRNA
Rfam family: Bacterial small subunit ribosomal RNA
Source: RNAcentral